RNAcentral lists this ribosomal RNA (415 nucleotides) under uncultured soil bacterium. Its description in RNAcentral is "bacterial SSU rRNA". It matches the Rfam family "Bacterial small subunit ribosomal RNA", at positions 258 to 688 of the family's 1533-position model. The record is from RNAcentral.
UAACGGCCUACCACGGCGACGACGGGUAGCUGGUCUGAGAGGAUGGUCAGCCAGACAGGGAGUGAGACACGGCCCUGACUCCUUUGGGGGGCAGCAAUGAGGGAUAUUGCACAAUGGGGGAAACCCUGAUGCAGCGACGCCGCGUGGGUGAUGAAGUCCUUCGGGAUGUAAAGCCCUUUUGACGGGGAAGAGAAUGGACGGUACCCGUCGAAUAAGCCCCGGCUAACUACGUGCCAGCAGCCGCGGUAAUACGUAGGGGGCGAGCGUUGUCCGGAUUUACUGGGCGUAAAGCGCGUGUAGGCGGCCGCAUAAGUCGGGUGUGAAAGCCAAAUUGCUCUUCCACGGGAUGCCGCCCGAGACUGUGUGGCUUGAGGACGGAAGAGGGGCGUGGAAUUCCUGGUGUAGCGGUGGAAUG